GCUCACCUAGGCGACGAUCCCUAGCUGGUCUGAGAGGAUGACCAGCCACACUGGAACUGAGACACGGUCCAGACUCCUACGGGAGGCAGCAGUGGGGAAUAUUGCACAAUGGGCGCAAGCCUGAUGCAGCCAUGCCGCGUGUGUGAAGAAGGCCUUCGGGUUGUAAAGCACUUUCAGCGAGGAGGAAGGGUUCAGUGUUAAUAGCACUGUACAUUGACGUUACUCGCAGAAGAAGCACAGGCUAACUCCGUGCCAGCAGCCGCGGUAAUACGGAGGGUGCAAGCGUUAAUCGGAAUUACUGGGCGUAAAGCGCACGCAGGCGGUUUG
RNAcentral lists this ribosomal RNA (327 nucleotides) under uncultured bacterium. RNAcentral describes it as "bacterial SSU rRNA". It matches the Rfam family "Bacterial small subunit ribosomal RNA", at positions 263 to 582 of the family's 1533-position model. The record is from RNAcentral.